Molecule: long non-coding RNA, 637 nt
Organism: Neopsephotus bourkii (Bourke's parrot)
Lineage: Eukaryota; Metazoa; Chordata; Aves; Psittaciformes; Psittacidae
Exons: 2
Source: RefSeq, a predicted model, not a curated record
GCAUCCUGCCGCAGGUGUCCCCCCACUCGCAGCCCUCCGAGGGGCGGGCUCUGUGCGCUUCGGACACUGGGAGUUUGCGGGUUUUAAUGAUUAUCGUUAUGAUGAUGAUGAUGAUGAUCCCUUUUCUCCUCCGCGCACGUGGUUGCAAAGACUCGUACCAUUUGCAAACGGGACUCCUCCACCCAGGUUACCUGUGACUUCUGAACAGAAGAACAACUAAGUAUGUUGAAAAGCCUUCACCUUGAAACUCAAUUCUGAGGCCCUCUGACAGCCAGAAUCAGACUUUUUAGGUGCUCUUUAUUGCUUUACAAUAAAGAGUGAAAACUUUGUACACUCCAGAAGGAAUCUGAAGUGCAAGGCGACCAGGACAUUAUCCUUUUGGAUCGUGCUGCACCACAGGCACUACCUAAACCAGACAAUUAAGCAUCAGUAACUGCUGCCCGAUCAGUUCUCUGCUGCUUGGUCAAAUUUUCACUGGGUUUUGCAUUUUCAGAGGUGAAAGUGUGAUUCGUAAUCCCUGUCCCAUAUAAUCUCCUGACACUUUAGGAGCACUAGCAAUCAAAAAUAACACACAUUUAUUCCAGUAUCAAAAUAAAGCUUGUAAAUACAAACUAAACUUUGCAUGACGAAAAUGAAA